GACGAACGCUGGCGGCGUGCCUAAUACAUGCAAGUCGAACGCAGUGGGGACGGGUGAGUAACCCGUGGGUAACCUCCCAUCAGAGGGGAUAACACUUGGAAACAGGUACUAAACCGAUACUGAUGGAUGGACCCGCGGUGCAUUAGAUAGUUGGGGAGGUAACGGCUCACCAAGGCCACGAUGCAUAGGCGAUCUGAGAGGAUGAGCGGCCACACUGGGACUGAGACACGGCCCAGACUCCUACGGGAGGCAGCAGUAGGGAAUAUUCGGCAAUGGACGAAAGUCUGACCGAGCAAUGCCGCGUGAGUGAAGAAGGUUUUCGGAUCGUAAAGCUCUGUUGUUAGAGAAGCGUUAUCUAACCAGAAAGCCACGGCUAACUACGUGCCAGCAGCCGCGGUAAUAC
RNAcentral lists this ribosomal RNA (403 nucleotides) under uncultured bacterium. Its description in RNAcentral is "partial 16S ribosomal RNA". It matches the Rfam family "Bacterial small subunit ribosomal RNA", at positions 28 to 526 of the family's 1533-position model. The record is from RNAcentral.